CUACAACCCUUUGUGAACAUACCUAUAAGUUGCUUCGGCGGGUAGGGUCUCCGUGACCCUCCCGGCCUCCCGCCCCCGGGCGGGUCGGCGCCCGCCGGAGGAUAACCAAACUCUGAUUUAACGACGUUUCUUCUGAGUGGUACAAGCAAAUAAUCAAAACUUUUAACAACGGAUCUCUUGGUUCUGGCAUCGAUGAAGAACGCAGCGAAAUGCGAUAAGUAAUGUGAAUUGCAGAAUUCAGUGAAUCAUCGAAUCUUUGAACGCACAUUGCGCCCGCCAGCAUUCUGGCGGGCAUGCCUGUUCGAGCGUCAUUUCAACCCUCAAGCUCUGCUUGGUGUUGGGGCCCUACAGCUGAUGUAGGCCCUCAAAGGUAGUGGCGGACCCUCCCGGAGCCUCCUUUGCGUAGUAACUUUACGUCUCGCACUGGGAUCCGGAGGGACUCUUGCCGUAAAACCCCCAAUUUUCCAAAGGUUGACCUCGGAUCAGGUAGGAAUACCCGCUGAACUUA
Molecule: ribosomal RNA, 508 nt
Filed under: Colletotrichum tropicale
Lineage: Eukaryota; Fungi; Ascomycota; Sordariomycetes; Glomerellales; Glomerellaceae
Description: eukaryotic LSU rRNA
Rfam family: 5.8S ribosomal RNA (bases 158-311)
Source: RNAcentral